GGAAUUCCCGGUGUAGAGGUGAAAUUCGUAGAUAUCGGGAGGAAUACCGGUGUCGAAGGCGAUUACCUGCCUGGAUACUGACGCUGAGGCGCGAAAGCGUGGGGAGCAAUCAGGAUUAGAUACCAUGGUAGUCCACGCCGUAAACGAUGUCAACUAGAUGUAGGGGGUGUUGAUCCCCUCUGUGUCGCAGCUAACGCAUUAAGUUGACCGCCUGGGGAGUACGGUCGCAAGAUUAAAACUCAAAGGAAUUGACGGGGGCCCGCACAAGCGGUGGAGUAUGUGGUUUAAUUCGAUGCAACGCGAAGAACCUUACCUGGUCUUGACAUCCCAAGGAUCUCCUGGAAACAGGAGAGUGCUUUCUUUCGAGAGAACUUGGUGACAGGUGCUGCAUGGCUGUCGUCAGCUCGUGUCGUGAGAUGUUGGGUUAAGUCCCGCAACGAGCGCAACCCUCGCCAUUAGUUGCCAUCAUUUAGUUGGGCACUCUAAUGGGACUGCCGGUGUCAAACCGGAGGAAGGUGGGGAUGACGUCAAGUCCUCAUGGCCUUUAUGACCAGGGCUACACACGUACUACAAUGGCCGGUACAAAGGGCAGCCACAGGGUGACCUGGAGCAAAUCUCUUAAAGCCGGUCUCAGUCCGGAUCGGAGUCUGCAACUCGACUCCGUGAAGUUGGAAUCGCUAGUAAUCGUGGAUCAGCAUGCCACGGUGAAUACGUUCCCGGGCCUUGUACACACCGCCCGUCACACCACGGAAGUUGGUUGUACCAGAAGUAGUUGAGCGAACCUUCGGGGCGCAGGCUACCAAGGUAUGGCUGGUAACUGGGGUGAAGUCGUAACAAGGUA
RNAcentral lists this ribosomal RNA (841 nucleotides) under uncultured bacterium. RNAcentral's name for it is "bacterial SSU rRNA". It matches the Rfam family "Bacterial small subunit ribosomal RNA", at positions 663 to 1498 of the family's 1533-position model. The record is from RNAcentral.